UUUUCACAGGAGUGUAGACUGUUGGUUUGUAUAAGCUAUGAUCUCUAAAUUUUACACAGCUCUUCUGAAAAAGUUGCCCUAAGGGAAGGGAUUCCACAUUUCAUUUAAUUUCUAAUUCCAGCUUUUGCAAGUUUUGAGCCAGUUGAAAAUGUGGAUUUUUGCUGAUCUGAAUAAUAUAUAUAUGGAUGUAUACAUAUAUUCUGGAGAUACAUAUGUAUAUAUAUGCUGUCCCUGACAGUGUUGGUGACACACCAGUUUACCUGUUUCUUUUGAGUGGUAGAGAUCCCAACCCCAAAUACACUAUUACAGAUGUGGUCUAACAAGUGAUGAGUUUCUCCUCCCUCAGUGUACUGAUGAUGGUGUCACCACAGUCCAGGAUGAUGGGUGCUGUCUUCACCAGACAUCAUGUGAGCUCAGUGCUGCAAGCAAGGACAUUGCCUCACCUGCCCCAGCCCCGAGACGUGGAUCCUGGCAAUCCCUGCAGCCCCUGGAGACUGGCAUCCUCUCCUCAAGAGUUCAUACAACCCAAAUGCUACCUCCAAAGGACAUAUAGUUAAGAUACCCAGAUAGACAAGGUUGGCUUGGACAUUUAAAUACCUGAGCAUACAAAUGUAGAGUGGAUGAGUAUGGCAUAGAAGAUUGCAUUCAAGUCACAAUGCACCACAGAAUGAAGGAGGUGUACCCUAUCCAACUUCCAGUCUCAGAACCUGGACACAAGAAAACACAUGGAGAAUCAUAUUCUUGCAACCACAGAUCAAUUCAGGUAUUUUGGCAGGGAAAAAGAAGAAAUUCAAAGCUGGAGUAGAAGAAAGAGCUAAAAAUUAAUGGACCAUUUUGAAGUUUGAAGGCAAGCAGUUAAUGUUACUCUAUGAGUUCAAUAGUAAUCCAGCAAGUUUUUUCCCAGAUACUGGAUUUGAUGCACGUGUCUUUCCUUAAGAUGCUUUUUUAAUUUCAUCUGUUGAAAGACUAGGGAAAGAAAUUAUGCUUAUAAGUUUGAGUUGAAAACUUUCUUACUAAUAUUAGAAAUAUUUAAAGGGAUGGUUGAAUGCCAGUUUGACUUCUUAAUGUACAGACAUCCAAUAUCUUAGUUUUGCUUAGAUUCCUGAAUUCAUGCAAAUAUCAGUUACCAUCUCUAACUCUGCUUUUUUCACAUGAGAAGAAUGAAUGCUGUUGAGGGUGGUACCACCAGAUAACUGAACAGAAUUAAAUGUUUAGAAUUAGAACUCCAGAAAGUAAGCAUGAAGCAUUAUAUUACUUGAAAAUUACUGUAGUUUCCAUGGUGAAAAAUGUGGAAGGAUUGUAAUACAGUUUGUAGCAUCUAUAAAAAGCAUUAUUUUGAUGGACCAUUUCCUAUGUUUUGAAAUCAAUGAAAUACAAAUGAUUGGAACAUGAUAACAAAUAUGAAUAGGGUAAAAACCUGAGACCUUUACUGCUUGAAAAAAGGGAGUA
Long non-coding RNA from Camarhynchus parvulus, 1449 nucleotides. RefSeq lists it as uncharacterized. NCBI's taxonomy places the organism in Eukaryota, Metazoa, Chordata, Aves, Passeriformes, Thraupidae. The record is from RefSeq and is a predicted model, not a curated record. The transcript is spliced from 3 exons.